UGAGGAAUAUUGGGUCAAUGGGCGGAAGCCUGAACCAGCCAAGUAGCGUGAGGGAUGACUGCCCUAUGGGUUGUAAACCUCUUUUAUAAGGGAAUAAAAUACGGGACGUGUCCUGUUUUGCAUGUACCUUAUGAAUAAGGACCGGCUAAUUCCGUGCCAGCAGCCGCGGUAAUACGGAAGGUCCGGGCGUUAUCCGGAUUUAUUGGGUUUAAAGGGAGCACAGGCCGGCUGUCAAGCGUGUUGUGAAAUGUAGGGGCUCAACCUCUGAACUGCAGCGCGAACUGACGGUCUUGAGUGCGCACAACGUUGGCGGAAUUCGUCGUGUAGCGGUGAAAUGCUUAGAUAUGACGAAGAACUCCGAUUGCGAAGGCAGCUGACGGGAGCGUUACUGACGCUUAAGCUCGAAAGUGCGGGUAUCG
Molecule: ribosomal RNA, 419 nt
Filed under: uncultured Prevotella sp.
Lineage: Bacteria; Pseudomonadati; Bacteroidota; Bacteroidia; Bacteroidales; Prevotellaceae
Description: bacterial SSU rRNA
Rfam family: Bacterial small subunit ribosomal RNA
Source: RNAcentral